This 2902-nucleotide ribosomal RNA is filed under the name human gut metagenome. Its description in RNAcentral is "bacterial LSU rRNA". It matches the Rfam family "Bacterial large subunit ribosomal RNA". The record is from RNAcentral.
UUAAGCGACUAAGCGUACACGGUGGAUGCCCUGGCAGUCAGAGGCGAUGAAGGACGUGCUAAUCUGCGAUAAGCGUCGGUGAGGUGAUAUGAACCGUUAUAACCGGCGAUUUCCGAAUGGGGAAACCCAGUGUGUUUCGACACACUAUCAUUAACUGAAUCCAUAGGUUAAUGAGGCGAACCGGGGGAACUGAAACAUCUAAGUACCCCGAGGAAAAGAAAUCAACCGAGAUUCCCCCAGUAGCGGCGAGCGAACGGGGAGGAGCCCAGAGCCUGAAUCAGUGUGUGUGUUAGUGGAAGCGUCUGGAAAGGCGUGCGAUACAGGGUGACAGCCCCGUACACAAAAAUGCACAUAUUGUGAGCUCGAUGAGUAGGGCGGGACACGUGGUAUCCUGUCUGAAUAUGGGGGGACCAUCCUCCAAGGCUAAAUACUCCUGACUGACCGAUAGUGAACCAGUACCGUGAGGGAAAGGCGAAAAGAACCCCGGCGAGGGGAGUGAAAAAGAACCUGAAACCGUGUACGUACAAGCAGUGGGAGCCUCUUAAUGGGGUGACUGCGUACCUUUUGUAUAAUGGGUCAGCGACUUAUAUUCUGUAGCAAGGUUAACCGAAUAGGGGAGCCGAAGGGAAACCGAGUCUUAACUGGGCGUUAAGUUGCAGGGUAUAGACCCGAAACCCGGUGAUCUAGCCAUGGGCAGGUUGAAGGUUGGGUAACACUAACUGGAGGACCGAACCGACUAAUGUUGAAAAAUUAGCGGAUGACUUGUGGCUGGGGGUGAAAGGCCAAUCAAACCGGGAGAUAGCUGGUUCUCCCCGAAAGCUAUUUAGGUAGCGCCUCGUGAAUUCAUCUCCGGGGGUAGAGCACUGUUUCGGCAAGGGGGUCAUCCCGACUUACCAACCCGAUGCAAACUGCGAAUACCGGAGAAUGUUAUCACGGGAGACACACGGCGGGUGCUAACGUCCGUCGUGAAGAGGGAAACAACCCAGACCGCCAGCUAAGGUCCCAAAGUCAUGGUUAAGUGGGAAACGAUGUGGGAAGGCCCAGACAGCCAGGAUGUUGGCUUAGAAGCAGCCAUCAUUUAAAGAAAGCGUAAUAGCUCACUGGUCGAGUCGGCCUGCGCGGAAGAUGUAACGGGGCUAAACCAUGCACCGAAGCUGCGGCAGCGACACUAUGUGUUGUUGGGUAGGGGAGCGUUCUGUAAGCCUGUGAAGGUGGCCUGUGAGGGUUGCUGGAGGUAUCAGAAGUGCGAAUGCUGACAUAAGUAACGAUAAAGCGGGUGAAAAGCCCGCUCGCCGGAAGACCAAGGGUUCCUGUCCAACGUUAAUCGGGGCAGGGUGAGUCGACCCCUAAGGCGAGGCCGAAAGGCGUAGUCGAUGGGAAACAGGUUAAUAUUCCUGUACUUGGUGUUACUGCGAAGGGGGGACGGAGAAGGCUAUGUUGGCCGGGCGACGGUUGUCCCGGUUUAAGCGUGUAGGCUGGUUUUCCAGGCAAAUCCGGAAAAUCAAGGCUGAGGCGUGAUGACGAGGCACUACGGUGCUGAAGUAACAAAUGCCCUGCUUCCAGGAAAAGCCUCUAAGCAUCAGGUAACAUCAAAUCGUACCCCAAACCGACACAGGUGGUCAGGUAGAGAAUACCAAGGCGCUUGAGAGAACUCGGGUGAAGGAACUAGGCAAAAUGGUGCCGUAACUUCGGGAGAAGGCACGCUGAUAUGUAGGUGAAGCGACUUGCUCGUGGAGCUGAAAUCAGUCGAAGAUACCAGCUGGCUGCAACUGUUUAUUAAAAACACAGCACUGUGCAAACACGAAAGUGGACGUAUACGGUGUGACGCCUGCCCGGUGCCGGAAGGUUAAUUGAUGGGGUUAGCGGUAACGCGAAGCUCUUGAUCGAAGCCCCGGUAAACGGCGGCCGUAACUAUAACGGUCCUAAGGUAGCGAAAUUCCUUGUCGGGUAAGUUCCGACCUGCACGAAUGGCGUAAUGAUGGCCAGGCUGUCUCCACCCGAGACUCAGUGAAAUUGAACUCGCUGUGAAGAUGCAGUGUACCCGCGGCAAGACGGAAAGACCCCGUGAACCUUUACUAUAGCUUGACACUGAACAUUGAGCCUUGAUGUGUAGGAUAGGUGGGAGGCUUUGAAGUGUGGACGCCAGUCUGCAUGGAGCCGACCUUGAAAUACCACCCUUUAAUGUUUGAUGUUCUAACGUUGGCCCGUAAUCCGGGUUGCGGACAGUGUCUGGUGGGUAGUUUGACUGGGGCGGUCUCCUCCUAAAGAGUAACGGAGGAGCACGAAGGUUGGCUAAUCCUGGUCGGACAUCAGGAGGUUAGUGCAAUGGCAUAAGCCAGCUUGACUGCGAGCGUGACGGCGCGAGCAGGUGCGAAAGCAGGUCAUAGUGAUCCGGUGGUUCUGAAUGGAAGGGCCAUCGCUCAACGGAUAAAAGGUACUCCGGGGAUAACAGGCUGAUACCGCCCAAGAGUUCAUAUCGACGGCGGUGUUUGGCACCUCGAUGUCGGCUCAUCACAUCCUGGGGCUGAAGUAGGUCCCAAGGGUAUGGCUGUUCGCCAUUUAAAGUGGUACGCGAGCUGGGUUUAGAACGUCGUGAGACAGUUCGGUCCCUAUCUGCCGUGGGCGCUGGAGAACUGAGGGGGGCUGCUCCUAGUACGAGAGGACCGGAGUGGACGCAUCACUGGUGUUCGGGUUGUCAUGCCAAUGGCACUGCCCGGUAGCUAAAUGCGGAAGAGAUAAGUGCUGAAAGCAUCUAAGCACGAAACUUGCCCCGAGAUGAGUUCUCCCUGACUCCUUGAGGGUCCUGAAGGAACGUUGAAGACGACGACGUUGAUAGGCCGGGUGUGUAAGCGCAGCGAUGCGUUGAGCUAACCGGUACUAAUGAACCGUGAGGCUUAACCUU